AUUCGCUCCACCACCCAGGCCUCCUGCUGAGGCACAAACAGGAUCACGGUGUUUCGGGGCAGUCCAGAGGAGGCGCGGCGCGGAACCCGGCCAGAAGCCUGCACCGAGCCCUGAAGGAAGACGAGACAGAAGGGCUCCAGUGCCCCGCGCCGCGCGCGCCAGCAUUUCCCGCAGCCUCGGCGACCUCCGGAACCAACGAGAGGUGGGGCAGAGCGGCCUCUCCUGAAGCCUGAACCCGAGCCCUUCCCUCGGCGGCUCCACUCCGCCCGACGUACUUCCGGCGUCUUAGUCCGCCCUCCCAUCCCCACUAGUCGGCGUCCGUCAAAUCGUUCCCUGGGAAACGUAGGCUUUGAAGAGAGAGCCCGAGAGUGCAAGUUUGUUCUGGUUCUCAAUCCCUACGAAGCUCCCGGGCGGUGUGGUAGGAACUGAGGCAAUAGUCUGUCCGCAGGUGGCACGGGAACACCGCCCACCAAAUUCUGUACCCACAGCGGUGACUCAGUUUACCCUCCAGCUCGUGCAUAACUGUCCUGAUCUGUCACCAUGACGACCAUGGAUUGAAUUGGCGCUCAGUAGUUGCCCGUGGUUGCCAUAGUGACAUUCUUGGGUAGUCAUGCUGUUGUGCCCAGCUCUCCCACUGGGGACUGACCCCAUUCCCGUUGUCAUGGUAACUAGGAGGCCUAACUUUACCUGAUGGCUGGGCGGAGAUUUCUCCCUUCCCUCUUUUCCCAAGGCAUCAACAGCUUUUUCAUUUUUUUUUUUUUUUCUGAGCCAGAAACGGUCAGGCCUGAUCCCCUUACAUACAGAGCCUCACUCAACCUUUCAUUUUUGUCUGGAACACGUCACCUUGCUCAGGUCUCUGACACUCUCUCAAAUACAAGCUUUAAGAGGCCUGUAUCCUCAUCCUCAUCUCCUUCUUCUCAUUCUCCUCCUCCUUCAUUUUACAUAUACAGACACUGAGGUUCUGAUGGGGCUAAACUACAGAAUCAAUGUAAGACUCCAGAUUCUCAGAGUUUAGCUUCUGUAGCUUCACUUUACCCACCCAGCCCCCAACACCUUACAUGAAAAGGAAUAAGACCAUGGUCCAAGACUCAGCUCGUCCUAGCCUAAGAUCUCAUGGGUUUGAGCCUGUUGCCAGAAUUCCAGCUCGCUUUAGACCCCACAUCUCCAUCCUCUUGAACACACAAAAAAGGUAGAGGUUAGUUCAAGUUUCCAAACAAGAAUUUAUUCUUUAUUUUUCUCCUUAAAAAAUGUACCAGGUACAAUUUUUCCU
Molecule: long non-coding RNA, 1270 nt
Filed under: Mus pahari (shrew mouse)
Lineage: Eukaryota; Metazoa; Chordata; Mammalia; Rodentia; Muridae
Description: lncRNA (MGP_PahariEiJ_G0005284.1)
Source: RNAcentral